RNAcentral lists this ribosomal RNA (579 nucleotides) under uncultured Methylocystaceae bacterium. Its description in RNAcentral is "bacterial SSU rRNA". It matches the Rfam family "Bacterial small subunit ribosomal RNA", at positions 790 to 1368 of the family's 1533-position model. Lineage: Bacteria; Pseudomonadati; Pseudomonadota; Alphaproteobacteria; Hyphomicrobiales; Methylocystaceae. The record is from RNAcentral.
GUAGUCCACGCCGUAAACGAUGGAUGCUAGCCGUUGGGGGGUUUACCCUUCGGUGGGGCACCUAACGCAUUAAGCAUCCCCCCUGGGGAGAACGGUCGCAAGAUGAUAACUCUCAGGAGUUGACGGGGGCCCCCACAAGCGGGGGAGAAUGUGGGUCAAUUCUAAGCACCGCGCAGAACCUUUCCCGUCUUUGACAUCCCGGCCGCGGGUACCAAAAAUGGAGGCCUUCCUUUCGGCUGGACCGGAGACGGGGGCUGUAUGGUUGUCGUCAGCUCGGGUCGGGAGAUGUUGGGUUAAGUCCCGCAACGAGCGCAACCCUCGCCCUUAGUUGCCAUCGUUGAGUUGGGCACUCUAAGGGGACUGCCGGCGAUAAGCCGGAGGAAGGUGGGGAUGACGUCAAGUCCUCAUGGCCCUUACGGGCUGGGCUACACACGUGCUACAAUGGCGGUGACAGAGGGACGCAAAGGAGCAAUCCUUCGCAAAUCUCCAAAAGCCGUCUCAGUUCGGAUUGUGCUCUGCAACUCGAGCACAUGAAGUUGGAAUCGCUAGUAAUCGCAGAUCAGCACGCUGCGGUGAAUA